This 444-nucleotide ribosomal RNA is filed under the name uncultured bacterium. RNAcentral's name for it is "partial 16S ribosomal RNA". It matches the Rfam family "Bacterial small subunit ribosomal RNA", at positions 339 to 795 of the family's 1533-position model. The record is from RNAcentral.
CUACGGGUGGCUGCAGUGGGGAAUAUUGCACAAUGGGCGCAAGCCUGAUGCAGCAACGCCGCGUGGGGGACGAAGGCCUUCGGGUUGUAAACCUCUUUUAGUAGGGAAGAAGCGCAAGUGACGGUACCUACAGAAAAAGCACCGGCUAACUACGUGCCAGCAGCCGCGGUAAUACGUAGGGUGCAAGCGUUGUCCGGAAGUAUUGGGCGUAAAGAGCUCGUAGGCGGUUUGUCGCGUCUGCUGUGAAAAUCCGAGGCUCAACCUCGGACCUGCAGUGGGUACGGGCAAACUAGAGUGCGGUAGGGGAGAUUGGAAUUCCUGGUGUAGCGGUGGAAUGCGCAGAUAUCAGGAGGAACACCAAUGGCGAAGGCAGAUCUCUGGGCCGUAACUGACGCUGAGGAGCGAAAGCGUGGGGAGCGAACAGGAUUAGAUACCCUCGUAGUC